This 50-nucleotide transfer RNA is filed under the name Rostellularia procumbens. Its description in RNAcentral is "Justicia procumbens partial tRNA-Leu". RNAcentral also lists the same sequence under 1 other name. Lineage: Eukaryota; Viridiplantae; Streptophyta; Magnoliopsida; Lamiales; Acanthaceae. The record is from RNAcentral.
AAAAUCCGUCGACCUUUAAAAUCGUGAGGGUUCAAGUCCCUCUAUCCCCA